RNAcentral lists this Y RNA (101 nucleotides) under Propithecus coquereli (Coquerel's sifaka). RNAcentral's name for it is "Y RNA (ENSPCOG00000006470.1)". It matches the Rfam family "Y RNA". From Rfam's summary of the family: Y RNAs are components of the Ro ribonucleoprotein particle (Ro RNP), in association with Ro60 and La proteins. Lineage: Eukaryota; Metazoa; Chordata; Mammalia; Primates; Indriidae. The record is from Rfam by way of RNAcentral.
GGCUGGACUGAGUGCAGUGGUGUUUACAACUAAUUGAUCACAACAGUUCUAGAUUCCUGGGGUCCUUCUCUAUGCCCACUGCUUCACUUGUCUAGCCUUUA